This 478-nucleotide ribosomal RNA is filed under the name uncultured bacterium. RNAcentral's name for it is "partial 16S ribosomal RNA". It matches the Rfam family "Bacterial small subunit ribosomal RNA", at positions 28 to 523 of the family's 1533-position model. The record is from RNAcentral.
GACGAACGCUGGCGGCGUGCUUAACACAUGCAAGUCGAACGGUAAGGCCCUUCGGGGUACACGAGUGGCGAACGGGUGAGUAACACGUGGGUGAUCUGCCCUGCACUUCGGGAUAAGCCUGGGAAACUGGGUCUAAUACCGGAUAGGACCACUGCCUGCAUGGGUGGUGGUGGAAAGCUUUUGCGGUGUGGGAUGGGCCCGCGGCCUAUCAGCUUGUUGGUGGGGUGAUGGCCUACCAAGGCGACGACGGGUAGCCGGCCUGAGAGGGUGACCGGCCACACUGGGACUGAGAUACGGCCCAGACUCCUACGGGAGGCAGCAGUGGGGAAUACUGCACAAUGGGCGCAAGCCUGAUGCAGCGACGCCGCGUGAGGGAUGACGGACUUCGGGUUGUAAACCUCUUUCAGCACCGACGAAGCGCAAGUGACGGUAGGUGCAGAAGAAGGACCGGCCAACUACGUGCCAGCCGCCGCGGUAA